This 475-nucleotide ribosomal RNA is filed under the name Axianassa australis. RNAcentral's name for it is "partial 16S ribosomal RNA". It matches the Rfam family "Bacterial large subunit ribosomal RNA", at positions 1858 to 2589 of the family's 2925-position model. The record is from RNAcentral. Lineage: Eukaryota; Metazoa; Arthropoda; Malacostraca; Decapoda; Axianassidae.
CCUGCCCAYUGACAUAGUUUAACGGCCGCGGUAUACUGACCGUGCGAAGGUAGCAUAAUAAUUAGUCUUUUAAUUGGAGGCUGGUAUGAAUGGUUGGACAAGAGCUAAUCUGUCUUUAUUAUAAUAGUUGAACUUAACUUUUAAGUUAAAAGGCUUAAAUAAAUUAGCGGGACGAUAAGACCCUAUAAAGCUUUACAUAAAGCUUUGUGUUAGGUGAAAUUGGUAAUUAAUAUUUAAAAUAAAGUGUAUGUUGUGCUGGGGCGGCAAGGGUAAAAUUUGUAACUGUUCUUGUUUUUGGACAAUUAUUUUUGUGUUGUAAAGGAUCCUUUCUAGUGAUUAAAAGAUUAAGUUACUUUAGGGAUAACAGCGUAAUUUUCUUUGAGAGUUCAUAUCGAGAAGAAAGAUUGCGACCUCGAUGUUGAAUUAAGAUUUCUUUAUGGUGUAGCAGCUAUUUUAGAGGGUCUGUUCGACCUUU